AGUCCACGACGCCGCCGCCGCCCUCUCGUGCCCUCCUCUCUGUCGCUGUCGCCACGUGCCCUCCUCUCUGUCGCUAUCGCCGCCCGCCCUCCUCUCCGUCGCCGCCGCCGCGCGCCCUCGUCUCCGUCGCCGUCGCCGUCAUCGCGCGCCUUCCUCUUCGUCGCCGUCGCCGCUCGCCUUCCUCUCCGUCGCCGUCGCCGCUGCCUCCCUCUAUUUCGCCGGUGACACCGCCGCUGCCAUCCUCUAUUCCGCCGGUCAUGCCGUUGCCACCUCCCUCUAUUUCGCCGGUGAUGCCGCCGCCCUCUAUUCCACCUUCGUUGUUGUCCUCUGCUCUGGUGCCGUCACCGCCAAACUGCCCUCCCAGUUGCAGCUAGAGGUGUUUGCCUGUGUGGCCCUGCUCUUUCCCUGCCAUGGAUACGUUUCUUUGAAUGAGCAAACAAGCUUCAUGCUCUGUCACUAACGGUGAGGACAGACAAUUGCCCCAUAAUGCUUGAGUCUUUUGUCCAAGACGAUUCCAACAUCAGGAUUGCCAUCUAUUCAAGUAAUACACGGUGAUGCCUUUCUGAAUGAUAUUGGUACAAUUGGAAGGAUAAUAGAGCAAAGAUUUACCUUUUGUUUUUACGGUGUCCUGGCCAUAGUCAAACACGGGAGCUCACCAUACAUUAGUUGAUUCUGCCUAAUUCUAAUACCAAUGUAAUUGCAAGUUGACAUUGAUUUCAGACACCGCUUUGUGUAAAGAUAUUUUGUAGAAGUUCUUUUAUCCUACUUCAACUAUUGCAUGCCGAAGC
Molecule: long non-coding RNA, 788 nt
Filed under: Oryza sativa Indica Group (long-grained rice)
Lineage: Eukaryota; Viridiplantae; Streptophyta; Magnoliopsida; Poales; Poaceae
Description: lncRNA OsPr106_03g0033470
Source: RNAcentral